UAGGGAAACUUACGCUAAUACCGCAUACGACCUUAGGGUGAAAGCGGAGGACCUUCGGGCUUCGCGCGGAUAGAUGAGCCGAUGUCGGAUUAGCUAGUUGGCGGGGUAAAGGCCCACCAAGGCGACGAUCCGUAGCUGGUCUGAGAGGAUGAUCAGCCACACUGGAACUGAGACACGGUCCAGACUCCUACGGGAGGCAGCAGUGGGGAAUAUUGGACAAUGGGCGCAAGCCUGAUCCAGCCAUGCCGCGUGGGUGAAGAAGGCCUUCGGGUUGUAAAGCCCUUUUGUUGGGAAAGAAAAGCAGCCGGUUAAUACCCGGUUGUUCUGACGGUACCCAAAGAAUAAGCACCGGCUAACUUCGUGCCAGCAGCCGCGGUAAUACGAAGGGUGCAAGCGUUACUCGGAAUUACUGGGCGUAAAGCGUGCGUAGGUGGUUGUUUAAGUCCGUUGUGAAAGCCCUGGGCUCAACCUGGGAAUUGCAGUGGAUACUGGGCAACUAGAGUGUGGUAGAGGAUGGCGGAAUUCCCGGUGUAGCAGUGAAAUGCGUAGAGAUCGGG
RNAcentral lists this ribosomal RNA (557 nucleotides) under Xanthomonas sp. RNAcentral's name for it is "bacterial SSU rRNA". It matches the Rfam family "Bacterial small subunit ribosomal RNA", at positions 149 to 701 of the family's 1533-position model. The record is from RNAcentral. Lineage: Bacteria; Pseudomonadati; Pseudomonadota; Gammaproteobacteria; Lysobacterales; Lysobacteraceae.